This 274-nucleotide ribosomal RNA is filed under the name Salmonella enterica. RNAcentral's name for it is "partial 23S ribosomal RNA". It matches the Rfam family "Bacterial large subunit ribosomal RNA", at positions 911 to 1182 of the family's 2925-position model. RNAcentral also lists the same sequence under 1 other name. Lineage: Bacteria; Pseudomonadati; Pseudomonadota; Gammaproteobacteria; Enterobacterales; Enterobacteriaceae. The record is from RNAcentral.
UGUUUCGGCUAGGGGGCCAUCCCGGCUUACCAACCCGAUGCAAACUGCGAAUACCGGAGAAUGUUAUCACGGGAGACACACGGCGGGUGCUAACGUCCGUCGUGAAGAGGGAAACAACCCAGACCGCCAGCUAAGGUCCCAAAGUCAUGGUUAAGUGGGAAACGAUGUGGGAAGGCCCAGACAGCCAGGAUGUUGGCUUAGAAGCAGCCAUCAUUUAAAGAAAGCGUAAUAGCUCACUGGUCGAGUCGGCCUGCGCGGAAGAUGUAACGGGGCU